This 488-nucleotide ribosomal RNA is filed under the name uncultured bacterium. RNAcentral describes it as "bacterial SSU rRNA". It matches the Rfam family "Bacterial small subunit ribosomal RNA", at positions 30 to 507 of the family's 1533-position model. The record is from RNAcentral.
AUUGAACGCUGGCGGCAUGCUUUGCACAUGCAAGUCGAACGGCAGCACAGGGAGCUUGCUCCCGGGUGGCGAGUGGCGCACGGGUGAGUAAUACAUCGGAACGUGUCCUGUUGUGGGGGAUAACUGCUCGAAAGGGUGGCUAAUACCGCAUGAGACCUGAGGGUGAAAGCGGGGGAUCGCAAGACCUCGCGCAAUUGGAGCGGCCGAUGCCCGAUUAGCUAGUUGGUGAGGUAAAGGCUCACCAAGGCGACGAUCGGUAGCUGGUCUGAGAGGACGACCAGCCACACUGGGACUGAGACACGGCCCAGACUCCUACGGGAGGCAGCAGUGGGGAAUUUUGGACAAUGGGGGCAACCCUGAUCCAGCCAUGCCGCGUGCAGGAUGAAGGCCUUCGGGUUGUAAACUGCUUUUGUCAGGGACGAAAAGGACCGUGUUAAUACCAUGGUCUGCUGACGGUACCUGAAGAAUAAGCACCGGCUAACUACGUG